Ictidomys tridecemlineatus (thirteen-lined ground squirrel) is the source of this 72-nucleotide non-coding RNA. Lineage: Eukaryota; Metazoa; Chordata; Mammalia; Rodentia; Sciuridae. The record is from Rfam.
GGGAAUGUGGCUUAAGUGGUAGGGCGCUCGCCUGUCAUGCGUGCGGCCCGGGUUCGAUCCUCAGCAAUCAUA